Molecule: long non-coding RNA, 10000 nt
Filed under: Physcomitrium patens
Lineage: Eukaryota; Viridiplantae; Streptophyta; Bryopsida; Funariales; Funariaceae
Description: long non-coding RNA (PPAT_LNC001958)
Source: RNAcentral
GGGUAUCUAGUUGUAGAGAGUUUAGGUUCCUUUUUUAUAUAAUGCCUUAGCUCCCAAAAACAAACUCCUUGCUUUGUAUAAAAAUUCAAAAUAUCUUUAAAUUCUUCAAAAUAUAUUUCUUCCCGCCAAGGACCUUUUUACAUCAGACUUUGAAAAUUCAUAAAAGCUAAUCCAACCGUUCACUUUGUUUCAAAUUUCUACAUAAGCUAGAUGCUAUACUUAACUUUUACCACAACAAAAUUGAACCGCACAUCUAUCACCGAUCGUUCGGCAUCUAAGAAACCCUAGCAGGUGCACAAAACCCUAACUUACAAGCACCCGAAAACUAUUUUCCUUAUAUCUCUUAAACCCAAGCUCUAAAUCACACAAAAUUUGUAUAGAAAGCUUUAUAACAAGAUUGCACUCAAUCUUGGAAAUUUUGAGCUAAAACCUCGUCAAAUUGUCUAAGAUAUAGCUCAAAUUACAAGCACAAGUAAUUCGGGCUACUUACUACCCUUAGAUAUCAAGCGCUGACUUCAACUGCCAAUAUCUCCUUCAUAAAAGAUUGGAAUUCGAUAAACAGUAUGCACAAACUGUAGCCGAAAAAGUUCUCUCUUCAAAUCCGGUCGCCGAUCCUCGUUUGCCGUCCGUACGCGUGCGGUAUGCUCAAAAGAGUGACAGUACGUUGAAAACUUACACCUUAACUUUGAGCGCCUAUAACUUCUUCAUAUAAACCCCAAAUGACACAAAACUUGCACCAAAACCUUAACCAAAAACCUAAACCUUCUGACCCUAGCCUUCAAAGUUCGAAUGGCCUCGAGAAACUAACCCUAAUCCCUAAUAUGGCCUCGGGCAGACUCCUCAAAGUCCAUUGGUCAUGAUUUUUGACCAAUAGGAAUGGAGAUUUUUAUUUUUCAUCUCCAUUCAUCUAUAUUGGUGCCCUAAUUCUUCCCUUUGCUACCAAAAUCCUUCUUCAAUCCUUUUUCUUAUAAGAUUUACAUAAUGUAUGCUCUAAACACCAAAUAAAAGAACCAAAAUAAGUUUUUAAAUGUCACCAAUGUCUAAUAAAGGUGACUCUAAAUAUUUAGAAGUUACUAUCAACCAAAACCAAUCUUAUAAGCCACUAUCAAAAAGAAAUUAAAGUUAUACAAAUUCUAUACUAAUCUUUUUAAACAACCUCUUUUCAAAGUAAUAAUCAAAUUAUAUUCUACAACCAACUAAAAUCUACUAACAUAGCUUUCACCAUGUUACUUAAUAAAUUAUAUAUUAAAUACAUAUUUACAUUAUUUUCAUAUAGUAGCCGAACCACAACAUGACAUCCACUCCUUCUAAACCUGUGCAUCCUCCGGUAUGCACCAAGAAGAACAAAAGUUGUGGUCGGCAUCAUGUUACCUCCUCAGCAAUGUCUUCUUCAAAAUCCAAUUCUUCUUCCUCAUAACUAGAUGGAUCAAAUUCUUCUUCAACAUCUUCAAGGAUUAAUUCUUAAUUCCGUUGUUUUAAAAAUUUUAUACGUUUUCCUGCAAUCGGAAUUUUGAGUCUUGUUCCAUCUAAUUCCCUUAAUGCAUAUGUAGCAUUAUCCAAAACAUGUACAACCACAUAAGGCCCAAACCAACGCUUAGAGAACUUUUUAAGAACACUAUGUUGAUUAUCCAAGCUGUUGUCAUAUACCAAAACCCAAUCACCUUCUUGAAUAUCUUUUGGCCUCAACCUGAGUCGCUUAUCAAAUCUAUCUUUAUUCUUUAAGCGUGACUCUUUUAGCCUUAUAAUUGCUUUUUCCACAUCUUCAGGUCUUCUUUCUAGUUGGCGAAUUCGAAGUACAAGAAGUUCUUCUUUAGAUAUAUUAUCUUGCCAAGGCAAGAUACUCCAAGUAGGUACUUGCUCUUCAAUGGGCAUAAUGGGCUUCUGUCCUUGCAUUAACUCUGCUGGCAUAUAUCCUGUCACUGAACUGUGAGUAGUCCGAUCAGCCCAAAGAAUAAAUGACAAUAAUCUUGGCCAUUCUCUUGCUCUUCCUUUGCAAGCUUUAACAAUGGCCUUUACAAUAGGAGGAUGACCUCUCACUCUUAGCAUUGCCUUCUGGAUUAUAAGAUGUAAUAAGUACUAGCUUGAUCCCACAUCUCUCAAAGAAUUGUCUAGCUUCAUGUGCAUCCAAUUCUCCACGAUUAGCAGUAAUUUUUCCAAUACAUCCAUAUCUACAAAUCACGUCUUCCAAUAAAAAUCUACAAACUCCUUCAGUGGAUUUUAUUCGUAGAGCUCUUCCUUCUACUUGGUUACAUAAAUCUUCUCGUGCCAGAGCUAAGUAUCACAUUUUCCAUAUCCCCAUAGGCAUAGUAACGAGGUCUACAACCCAUUUAUAAUGUAUUGCAAGUGGAUAUGUAGGAUGCAAUCCAUCUCUAUGUCGAAUCUCCGAGUAUAUCUGACACGUUUGGCAUGAUUCUACAAACUUCACCACAUCUCUAUACAUAUUACGCCACCAAUAUUUUUCUUUGAGCUUGUUAAAGGUGGCAUAAAUACCUCUAUGUCCAGCCCACAAACUAUCAUGAAAUUCAUGGAUUAGUUGUUCUUGCAUCUCUUUCUUGCAAAGUACUCUUUGUGGCAUUCCGCUAUUCCGCUUGCAUCGCUUCCAUAGGUAACCACCUUGUAAGAGGUAAUUAUAAGCCUUCCGUCUAAUCUGCUUGAAAUGAAUAUCACUCCAUCCUGAUUGUCUUGAUAAUGUGCUUAAAUAGCAUCCAAUAUCAAUCCAUUCUUCUUCAUACAAUUCUUCUGUAAAUAGUCUUGGAUAUUCAUCUUCUCUUUGUUGUGCCCUAGAAUAAAAGGUAGUACCUAUAUCUUCAGUAUCUUCAAUCAAACCUUCUUCUUAUUCAUAUCUGGCUCGAGAUAACAUAUCUGCUACAAGAUUAUCCUUGCUUGCUAUAUGCCUAAAUUCAGGGUUCAAAGAUUUAAUAUAUGUAAUCCAUCUUAACAUAGCAAUAUCAGGGGUAUUACAAUUAGUAAUCAUUCCCAAUAGUGGCAAGCAAUCUGUUUCCACUAUCACUAGUGCUCCAAUUAAAUAAUCUCUUUUACUUUUCAGAGCUGUAACUAUUUUCCAUAGCUCUCGUUUCACUUGUGGAUAGUUUCUUUGUCGUUCACUUAAUACUUUAGCUCCAAAUCUAAUAGCAAACAUGUUCCCUUCUUCAUCAUUUUGUCCUAAAGCCCAACCAACAGCUAUUGGACUAGUAUCAACUGUAAGUAUCACUGAUUUGCCAUCCUCAUAACUUAUCCUUCGCAAUACAGGUGGAGAAGAUAAUAAUUACUUUAGCUUUUAAAUUGUUUCUGUAUGUUUUUUCUCUCAUUUAAAUCUCUUCGCUUUUCGUAGCAAACUAUAAAGAGGAUCAGCUACAUGUGCAUAAUGAGGAAUCCAUACACAAUAAAAUAUGCAAGCUCCUAAAAUCCUCCGUACCUCUGUUUGUGAGCUACAAAUAUCCUUCAUUCGUUGUAUGGCAUCCACCUUAUUAGGAUCAGGUUUGCGACCAAACCAUCCACAUAAAUGCCCUACAAUAACAACUUCUCGAACUCCAAAAGUAGAUUUAGCUCCUGACAAUGUCAAGUGAACCUCCUCAAGUCGAGAUAAAAUUUUGUCACAGUCUAAAAUAUGAUUAGAUACAAAUUUACGGCACCCCUUCUGAUCCAUUGUUUUAUCUUUUUCUUCUUCCACACACCUUUUUAUUGGAAUAUCAUCUAAGAAGGGCAUAGUCUUUUCUGGAAUGAAAUCACGAAGAACCUUAUUCAUUCCAUUCAUCAUAUGAGCUACUGAGUUUGUUGCUCCUUGUGGCAAUGUACACAUCUUAACCAACCCUAAAGGUGUCCUCAUAGUAGUAACAUCUUUGCUCCCUUCAGCUAGUUGAAAUUGAUCAUAUCCAGAAUAAAAAUCUCCAACAGAGUAAAUAGCUCUACCAGCAAAUGCCUCAGCAAAUUCUCCAACAAUUGGUCCAACUCCAGUAUUUCUAAUAGUUACUUGAUUUACUAGUUGCAUAUCUUGAAUAAACCGUAGUGUUCCAUUUUUCUUUGGUACUAUAAACCAACGGCUGGAAUAUGGUGCAAAUGAUGGCUCGAGGAUCUUCAUUUGUAUCUUUUCUUUUAAAAGCUUCAUAAGUUUAGGUAGAUGUGCUUUAGGCACUGAAAUUGGUCUUAAAUCCCAAGGAACAUGUGAAACUGUAAAUAUAAUCAUUAGUGCCACAACACUUGGAUCAACACAUCCAAUUUCUGAAGGUUCAAAAGCAAAGGCCUUUCCAUGCAUACUUAACAUUUUUUUAAAUUCUAUUUCUUCAACAGGCAAUAGGAAAUUUGUAGAUCCUAUUUUUAACUCAUUAAGUGUGUUCUUAGUAAACUUAUGGCCAAUUUGUUUAGGAUCCCGUAAGACCUUCUCCUUCAAAGCUUGUUGAACUUGAUGAUUGGAAUCACUAGGUAAUGGUAUAGCUACUAGUUUUAUUUUUCUCUCCAUAGUCUUGUACUUAGUUUCAACUUCGACUUUAUAAUCUUGAAAUGCUUGUAUAGCUGAGUAGAGCUCUCUUGAAUGUACUUGCAUCACUUGAUCUUCAUUUCCUUGUUCAACCUCUAAAAGUUCUUCCAUAAAAUUUUCUAAACUAGUCUCUAUAUAUACACCUAUUAUCUUAUCAUCUCCAUCAAGCACACCCACUCUUUUUAGGUCUUUUUCAGAUUUUUGCACAACUUUUUUCUCCCACUUUGGUAGAUCAUUAAGUUGUGUAUAGAUAGCAAAUCCAUUCUUAGAUAAUUCUAUAACACCUGUACAAAAGGUACUUUCUUUUUCAUGCGAGAGUACUGUAGAAUAAGUAGUUAUUUGCUGAUUUGUAGAUACUUAGUUUAUAGUGUAAACAGAGAUAGAUGACUGUUAGAAAGGUAGUUUAGUAGUUAAAAUGGAUGAAUAGUUAGGAAAAGUAGUUUUCAUUAGAGAUGUAGCAGUUGGUAUCUUGUGGUAGGAUAAGGAGGAUGAGAGAGAGGAAGAAACCGCCAUUACUGUGAUAGUGUGAGCCGGGGUAAGCUUGGUGCUACCUCUUUUCUUUUUUUGUUAUGUUCUUUGAAAUAAGAGUAUUGAGAGUUUCUAAAUAUUGUGAAGUGAAUCAUGGAAUGAAAGUGUGAAUGGAAUUAUAUGUUAUUGAAUGAGAAGAAGAGAGAUUGAAUGUUGAAAUCUGAAUGUAGUUCAGCAGAAAGAGUGAAUCUGUGGUUGUGUGAAACACUGUAAUGUGAAUGGUAGUUCUGUGUGAAGAAUUCCAGUAAUUGGAAUGAGGGUAAUUGUGUGCUGAAGCUGUGAUGUUGAGGUAUUACAGUUGAAGAUUAUAAGAGUGAAGAUAUAUUGGUAGAAAUAACAGUUAUUGGUAUGACUGAAUUGUUGCAAAGAAGAGAGUGAUAAGGUGAAAGGAGAGAUUAUCGUUUUCCUAUGUGCUUAGACAAUGGAAAUAGUGACGAUACAUUGGAGGUAAUUAAUUGUGUGACCCUAACGUGAACGCUCAAGCAACUAGUCACUCCCCGUGUUCGAAUUCCCCUAUAUGGGUUUAUUCUAGGAAGUUUCUUUCGGAAUAAGUAAAACAAAAAAUCACAUUUUGGCGCCGCUGCCGGGGAGUGAUAAUAGCUUUGAGCAUUAGGAAUUAAUUACAAACGUGUGAGAAAAUGGACAAUGGAAGACGAUUUCAGUAGUGUUUGAAGAAAGAUUAUGGUUAAUAAGAACGAGAGCAUUGCAUCGAAGAAAAUAAAUCAGUUGAGAGAAAGACAGGGAAGAGCACAAGGAAGGAACUUGGAUAGAGAGGAGCAAGAACGUAAUCUUAAAAGGAAGCAUCGACAGAAUUGGAUUAAACCAUGGUUGCAAGCUUGUCGGCGCAUCCGAACAUAUCAAGAACCGGACAGACUGUUAAUUGUGCAGUCUUAUGUACCGUUAGAAAAACUGCCAAGAGCACUCGCGGGAAAUUUUGUCAACAUUCCAGUGGAAAUCUUGAGGCCGUUAACUGAAAGAGAAAGAGGCAUAGAAGUAUUUGGUACUCCAUUGGGUAAUUUUCGAGUAGGGGGUACCGCUGAAACGAGCAAUAGGGGCUCUGCAGAUUGGCAUGAAUUGGUCGCCAAUAAAGGCCACUAUAUUGUAUUUCAAAAUCCGAUGUUUUCACCUGCAAGUCAACCAAUAAAACUAUUUGCGGGAAAUAACAGUAAAGCAAGGACUGCUGAGAGCUCGGUAAUUAGAGUAAGGGAAAGCAGAGAUUAUUUUAAAACAAAUUUCAAAGGAACAAAAAAUUCAAUGGCGGCAGGAGGACCAGUCGUUCCGAUUGCAGUUCAAAUGGGUACCUUGGGCGAUCGUACGACUACCGUCGCACCAUUAUCUACUUUUCGUGGUUUGCCAGGUGCGGACCCAGAUCAACAUUUAUCUCAAUUCUUGACGACGUGUGUAGCCAAUAAUGGAAGGACAAAAGACAUUUGGUUGAGAUGGUUGCGAGCGACACUAAAAGACACAACGUUCGAGUCGUAUAACCGCCAACCUGUAGGUCAAUUUAUCAAUUGGGAGGCAUUGAAAACGGCAUUUUUAGCCCAUUUCCGACCAAUUGGUUUUGAAGAACGUCUUCGAGAAAGAUUAAUAAACAGCAGAAUGGUACUAGGGGAAGCGGUACAGUCAUAUUAUGGUCGUGUAGCAGAUAUACUUCGGAAAUGGCCAAAUAACCAAAUGCCGGAAUCGUUUGUGUUGUCCAUAUUGGUUAAUGGAUUACACCCACCAGAAUUGAAGAUGUUUGUAAAAGAGGCCCAAUCAGCUACCAUUGCAGCAUCUCUUGAGCGAGCAAAAGUAUGGGAGGAAUGUCAUUACGACCAGCACUUAACCGUUGGCGCCACGAUGAUUCCAUCGCAAGGCGGUUAUCAAAUGACAAAUUGGAAUGACGCAUCGAAAAGUUAUCCGGGAAGGAGUGAUUAUGGUACAAUUCCACAGGGAAUAAUGAAUGCCGUUCCAUUGCAGGCUGUACUACCAUCAUCGUCACAACCGUACGUGCCUUAUUCUGCAUAUCAAAAACUAAUACCUACGAAGGAAUUGACUAAUGAAUUGGUAUCAAGGGAUCCCAAUGAGUCAUUGCUGUUAACAUUAACGAAGAAAAUGGAUGAAUUGGCUAUGAAUCUGGCCAAGGAUAAAGAGAAAAGGCAUAAACCGACCAAUAUGCGACCAAAUGUUUGGUGUAGCAAUUGUAAGGAACAAGGUCAUUUGGUAACCGAAUGUUCUUCACCACCCCAAAUGAUGGUUCAAUGUACCUUUUGUGGGGGAAAGCAUACCACUGCCAAUUGUUGGAACUUAAGGAAACAACAACAAGUCGGACAACAGACCAUGAGUCAACCAACUUCGUGGGAUGUAAAUCAAGUAUAAACGAAUAAUAGGUUCGGCUGGAAUGGAAAUCGAGCGAAUAGACAAAACAGGAAUUAUUCCAAUUUCCAAAACUCUGAAUUUCACCAAGAAGGUAUAUCCAAUACCCAUGGCUUGGGGGUGAAUCAGCAAAGAUAUCAUCAAUAUUCACCCAUGCAGAAGCCAAUGCCAGAAUCUAUAGUACCAAUGGGUCAACUAGGAUCCUUUACUCAACCGACAUGGAAUAGACCGAGCCGUUAUAUACCAGUAGAGACACCCUAUAUCCCUGAAGGAGCUGGCAGAAGACCACUUCGUUGCUAUUGGUGCAGACAAAUCGGACAUUAUGCGAGUGAAUGUCCUAAUCCAAGAGCAAGUGAUGAUUAUGCCCCAAUAUGUGGAAAUUGUAAGCAGUCUGGUCAUACUUAUCAGUAGUGCAAUGCGGCUUUUAAUUAUAAUAAUCGAGACCAGCAGAUGCAAACAAGCCAACCAGCGGAGGACAAAGGUCCUGUUCAACGGGACUCACCAGUACAUGCCAAUUUCAUUGGUGAACGCAGUGCUUACCAGGGGCCAAUAGAAAGGCAAGAAUCCAAUUCAGGACCUGGAUGACCCAAUCGAAGUAACAACAGUAGCGCCGUCCAAGAGGCGGACCGAACCAAUAUCAGUAUUGGGACGUAUACCAAUAUUGAGCCCUCAACAAGACGAGGAACCCACUUCAGUUUCACGUGCCAAUUUUUCGGGGACAUCAAGAUCAAUUCCAAAUGACCACGUCCCAAUACUCGCACAACCCAAUAUAAGCUCGUACCCAUUGAAGGAACCUUUAGUGGUCAAAGAGUCGACUAAGAGGAAGGAAUUGCUGUCGAACAAAGUCAAAACGAAACCAAUGAAACGCAAAAGAGCAUUGGGAGCUACUCUCAGUAUGCAACCCUACGACAUUUUGAAGGAUUUGGAUGUUAUCCAGCCUUCAAUUACAAUGAAGCAACUUUUGGCUGUAGCACCGGAAUGUCGAUCAACAUUGAAUUCAGCGUUAAUACGGCGGAGAUCCCGCACUAGAGAAAUACAUGAAGUUAGCUUAAACCUAGAUCCGGGAGCACCAACAAUCGAUGUAUCAAUCGAUGGAGUUUUAAUUCCAGGGGUACAAGUCGAUGGUGGCUCCAGUGUGAAUUUAAUGAACGCUGAUACAAUGGAAGACUUGGAUCUAAAGCAAUUGCUCCCUACGACAUUAGUUUUGCGAAUGGCAGAUCAUAGUCGAGUUAAGCCGAUGGGAAUCUUACGCGAUAUUGCCACUGUAAUCGCGGGAUUGACAUACAAAAUCGAUUAUGUUGUAUUUAGGUUACAGAGUUCUAUGUUAUCGUAUCCCAUUUUAUUGGGCAGACCUUGGUUGUAUCAAGCCAAGGCUAAGAACGACUGGGACCGCGGCACAUUGACAAUUGGAAAAGGCAAUGACCAGAUUGUUCUACAAAUUUAUCCGUUACAAUAUCACGGAGAAACCCAAUUGCCCGAAUCAGAAUUUACAUCGGAUAACGAGAGUCACUCGAUUGAGGAAGAUGACGAUGCUAUAGUUUCACCGCAAUUUGGAGUAGGUCAAACCCCUUCUACAACCAAGGGAGGAGUCUACCAAUGUGGUGGCCCCGGUGAAUAUUUACUCCAUCAGGAGGAUGCCUCUUACUCGGAUCAUGUUAUUACCGAAUGGAUGACCCGAUAUGAUGUCAAUCAUGUGAGUGCAAUAUGAUGUCAAUCAUAUGGAGUGACCCGAUAUGAUGUGAAUCAUAUGGCGUGAUUUUCUAUCUAGGAAUACACCGGAUAUCUAGCUAUAGAGAGUUUAGGUUCUUUUUUUAUAUAAUGCCUUAGCUCCCAAAAACAAACUCCUUGCUUUGUAUAAAAAUUCAAAAUAUCUUUAAAUUCUUCAAAAUAUAUUUCUUCCCGCCAAGGACCUUUUUACAUCAGACUUUGAAAAUUCAUAAAAGCUAAUCCAACCGUUCACUUUGUUUCAAAUUUCUACAUAAGCUAGAUGCUAUACUUAACUUUUACCACAACAAAAUUGAACCGCACAUCAAUCACCGAUCGUUCGGCAUCUAAGAAACCCUAGCAGGUGCACAAAACCCUAACUUACAAGCACCCGAAAACUAUUUUCCUUAUAUCUCUUAAACCCAAGCUCUAAAUCACACAAAAUUUGUAUAGAAAGCUUUAUAACAAGAUUGCACUCAAUCUUGGAAAUUUUGAGCUAAAACCUCGUCAAAUUGUCUAAGAUAUAGCUCAAAUUACAAGCACAAGUAAUUCGGGCUACUUACUACCCUUAGAUAUCAAGCGCUGACUUCAACUGCCAAUAUCUCCUUCAUAAAAGCUUGGAAUUCGAUAAACAGUAUGCACAAACUGUAGCCGAAAAAGUUCUCUCUUCAAAUCCGGUCGCCGAUCCUCGUUUGCCGUCCGUACGCGUGCGGUAUGCUCAAAAGAGUGACAGUACGUCGAAAACUUACACCUUAACUUUGAGCGCCUAUAACUUCUUCAUAUAAACCCCAAAUGACACAAAACUUGCACCAAAACCUUAACCAAAAACCUAAACCUUCUGACCCUAGCCUUCAAAGUUCGAAUGGCCUCGAGAAACUAACCCUAAUCCCUAAUAUGGCCUCGGGCAGCCUCCUCAAAGUCCAUUGGUCAUGAUUUUUG